UUGGCCAAAAAAUUGAUUCGGAUUUUUCCAUAAGAUGUUAUGGAAAAACCUGAACGAACUUUUUGGCCAA
Tursiops truncatus (common bottlenose dolphin) is the source of this 70-nucleotide microRNA precursor. NCBI's taxonomy places the organism in Eukaryota, Metazoa, Chordata, Mammalia, Artiodactyla, Delphinidae. The record is from Ensembl.